GAUGAACGCUGGCGGCGUGCCUAAUACAUGCCAGUCGAGCGAACAGACGAGGAGCUUGCUUCUCUGACGUUAGCGGCGGACGGGUGAGUAACACGUGGAUAACCUACCUAUAAGACUGGGAUAACUUCGGGAAACCGGAGCUAAUACCGGAUAAUAUAUUGAACCGCAUGGUUCAAUAGUGAAAGACGGUUUUGCUGUCACUUAUAGAUGGAUCCGCGCCGCAUUAGCUAGUUGGUAAGGUAACGGCUUACCAAGGCAACGAUGCGUAGCCGACCUGAGAGGGUGAUCGGCCACACUGGAACUGAGACACGGUCCAGACUCCUACGGGAGGCAGCAGUAGGGAAUCUUCCGCAAUGGGCGAAAGCCUGACGGAGCAACGCCGUGUGAGUGAUGAAGGUCUUCGGAUCGUAAAACUCUGUUAUUAGGGAAGAACAAAUGUGUAAGUAACUAUGCACGUCUUGACGGUACCUAAUCAGAAAGCCACGGCUAACUACGUG
RNAcentral lists this ribosomal RNA (497 nucleotides) under uncultured bacterium. Its description in RNAcentral is "partial 16S ribosomal RNA". It matches the Rfam family "Bacterial small subunit ribosomal RNA", at positions 28 to 507 of the family's 1533-position model. The record is from RNAcentral.